GGGAUUAGAUACCCCACUAUGCCUGGCCCUAAAUCUUGAUGCUUACACCUACUAAAGCAUCCGCCCGAGAACUACGAGCACCAACGCUUAAAACUCUAAGGACUUGGCGGUGCCCUAAACCCACCUAGAGGAGCCUGUUCUGUAAUCGAUGAUCCACGAUAUACCUAACCAUUCCUUGCCAAAACAGCCUACAUACCGCCGUCGCCAGUCCACCUCCCCUGAAAGCCCAACAGUGGACGCAAUAGCCCAACCACGCUAAUAAGACAGGUCAAGGUAUAGCCUAUGGAAUGGGAAGCAAUGGGCUACAUUUUCUAAGAUAGAACAUACGGCAUAAGGGGUAUGAAAUAACCCCUAGAAGGCGGAUUUAGCAGUAAAGUGGGACAAUCGAGCCCUCUUUAAGCUGGCCCUGGGGCACGUACAUACCGCCCGUCACCCUCCUCA
This 441-nucleotide ribosomal RNA is filed under the name Coccothraustes coccothraustes (hawfinch). Its description in RNAcentral is "partial 12S ribosomal RNA". It matches the Rfam family "Bacterial small subunit ribosomal RNA", at positions 774 to 1408 of the family's 1533-position model. Lineage: Eukaryota; Metazoa; Chordata; Aves; Passeriformes; Fringillidae. The record is from RNAcentral.